Molecule: long non-coding RNA, 1168 nt
Organism: Oncorhynchus tshawytscha (Chinook salmon)
Lineage: Eukaryota; Metazoa; Chordata; Actinopteri; Salmoniformes; Salmonidae
Source: Ensembl
CAUAAACCAUGUUAAUAGAAUGAAAUGGAUCCAGGUUCCAUUUAUUCUACAUUAGAUUUACUGCCUGUGGAACACUUCUCCAAAGUGGUCUGAAAUCAAGAUGACUGCAGGUCUGAAUCCCAAACUAAUGGGGGGAAAUGGAUCCAUCUAAUAAGAUGGUAUUUAGAGAAUAAUAGUGAAGACAUCAAAACUAUGGAAUAACACAUGGAAUCAUGUAGUAACCAACAACGUGUUCAACAAAUCAAGUGGAGGCCAGGUCAUCUGAUGCAGCACUCCAUCACUCUCCUUCUUGGUCAAAUAGCCCUUACACAGCCUGGAGGUUUCCUGCUGAAAAACAAAUGAUAGUCCCACUAAGUACAUACCAGAUGGGAUGUCGUAUCUCUUUAGAUUGCUAUGGCAACCAUGCUGGUUAAGUGUGCCUUGAAUUCUAAAUAAAUUCCUGACAGUGUCUCCAGCAAAGCACCAUCACACCUCCUCCUCCAUGCUUCAUGGUGGAACAUACACAUGCAGAGAUCAUCUGUUCACCUUCUCUGCUUCUCACAAAGACACGGCGGUUGGAACCAGAUAUCUUAAAUCUGGACUCAUCAGACCAAAGGACAGAUUUCCACCGAUCUAAUGUCCAUUGCUCGUGUUUCUUGACCCAAGCAAGUCUCUUCUUAUUAUUGGUGUCCUUUAGCAGUGGUUUCUUUGCAGAAAUUGAUAGUGAGGGUGUUUUCUGUUAACAGAAUGUGUUUCUUGUUAAAAGGCUGAAUAUCACUAAAGGGAAUAAGCAAAGACACUAUGUGUAAUUCUGGGAUUGAGUUUACUUAUUGGUUUUAUUCUAUAAUGAACUAUAGUUAUCUGUAGUUAUUGGUAUAAUUCUAUAAUGAACUAUAGUUAUCUGUACUUAUUGGUAUAAUUCUAUAAUGAACUAUAGUUAUCUGUACUUAUUGGUAUAAUUCUAUAAUGAACUAUAGUUAUCUGUACUUAUUGGUAUAAUUCUAUAAUGAACUAUAGUUAUCUGUACUUAUUGGUAUAAUUCUAUAAUGAACUAUAGUGAUCUGUACUUAAUCCUAUAAUGGCCCGUAGUAAUAUUAUAGUCCGAUAAGGGCAUGUAGCAAUCUGAUAAUUUCCUAUAGUAAUCUGUACUUAUUAUUUCCUGGAAAUAAUGUAUAGGUGCGCCACCAAU